CCCAAAUGAGCCACUCCUUUUUCCUUCUCAAGUAUCUCAUCGGGAAGCUGAAAGUUUUCUUCAGCACUAGAUCCGAUGGAUACAGUUUAAAAGUUAAAUAACUGACCAGACAGUAGUGACUGACACCUUGAAUCUCAGCACUCAGGAGGCAGAGGCAGAUGACAGAUCCCAAGUACAGGAGUCAUGUUUUGAAGACAGAAACAAGGCCUGCUUGUUUGGCACAGAUUAAAAAAAAAGUCUACUGCAUUUAAUUAUGGAUGGUGUUUUGAUUCAAAGGAGAGUAGUACUUACAGACAGAUUCAAGGAACAAGAAAAGAAUAAACAUUUGGUUGUGACAUCUCGGAUACCAGGGAGCAAGCACCACAUCUCAUUCAACUCUUCAUUCUAGGAUCUAAUGCAGCCCACCUAGCACUGGACUAUUCGAUGCAAUGGCUGAUUAAAUAAAGAGACAGUAUCACUGGGAUGUGGACAACGCACAUGGAUUCGAGUUCUGCAGGGGCCUUCAAAUAGGAUCAAGGACAUGAAUUCAGAAGCCAUGGGUCAUGAAAAAGUGUGAUCAAGAACAGCAGUGGAAUCUGCAGAAGCAGAUGCACCCCUCCCCAGAGUCCCCAGGAAUGCUGAAUCACUUCUCCAAAUAAUGACCCUGUGAGCUCUGAGGGGGUGAUCUCUGCCCUUCACCGACUGUGUGAGCAAUGGCAUGGGCCAGAGGUUCCCACUGUGUGAUGUAUUCUUAGACACUGCGUAGGGAAGAAGUACAGGGGUAAGCUCUAUGAUGUCAAACUAUCCAUCACUCUAGGGAGUAGGAAAGCUGUAAACACAACCAUCCCUUUGCCACACAGAUGCUGAGUUCAGCAUCUUUGUUGUUGUUGUCAUUGCUGUGUUUUCUUUCUUCCUUUCAUUGUGAAGCUAAUGCUUAGAGGAGUAUGAACUUAAUAACAGAAGGCUAGUGCCUAAAUCAAAAUCAAUCCCAACACCAGGCCACCAGCCAUGCAGCAGUGACUGCAGCGUGAUUAUAUCUUUCAGAAGAACAUCUAUUAAAGGCAAUAUCGUGGGCCUCUUUUGAUGCCA
Long non-coding RNA from Arvicanthis niloticus (Nile rat), 1068 nucleotides. RefSeq lists it as uncharacterized. NCBI's taxonomy places the organism in Eukaryota, Metazoa, Chordata, Mammalia, Rodentia, Muridae. The record is from RefSeq and is a predicted model, not a curated record.